GCUGGAGUGCAGUGGCGUGAUCUCGGCUCACUGCAACCUGCACCUCCCGGGCUCAAGCGAUUCUCCUGCCUUAACCUCCAAAUAUCAUAGUAUCAUGAGGUUAUGAAGACAUGUUGCCUGCGCCAGAUAGCAAUACUGGCUGUAGUUCUAAAAAUAAAGAUCUAUUUGAAGAAUUCAGAGAAUCUAUGGAAGAUGGCUCAGCUUGCUGUGAAGCAAAGAAACCAGGGACCUUCUCCAGAACCUCUGAAGUUGAUGUUAGGUCCAGCUAAUGUUUGUCCUCUAAAAAGAAUACUUAACUGUUGAUCAGUUGUUCUGCUGUUGGCAGCUGCCUUCUCAGAUGGGCUCCGUGCUAAACAACUCUCUGCUGCUUCACUACAUUAACUGUGUCAGAGAUGAGCCAGUCUUGCUAAGGUCUUAUUAGUGAUUGAGUCAAACAUUACAAGAAGCUGGAUGCUUGUAUUUACUGUUUCUGCUCUAGAAUGUAUUUGGUGCAAGGUGAAUAAUUAUGAACAUGGAAAAGAAUUUACCAACUUUCUGGAUACUAUCAUCAGGGCAGAGUCCUUCUUACAAGAGGGGUUUCAUUCCUGUGAAGCAUUCCUGUAUAAGAGCCUUCCUCUCUGGGACGGCCUCUGUUGUCGGUCACAGUUCCUUCAGCUUGUGAGAUGGAUUCCUUUUAGUAGCUACGCUGAGGUGAAACCACUUCUUUUUGAUCGUCCAGCACAGCCCUUCUUUACAUCAGCCAUUUAUUUCAAGAGAGACAACCUUGGGUGGAUCCAUGAACUCUGUGUCUAAACUGCUCCACUGUGUAGGGUGGCUAUCCACUACUGCAGUGUGCUUGGAGAGCAGCAGUACUUUCUUGAUGCACUGUAUGUUGGAUUUCUAUGAGAAGCUCGUACACAUUACAUUUGGAUUUUUGUGAAAGCUGUC
This is a long non-coding RNA of Gorilla gorilla gorilla (western lowland gorilla), 927 nucleotides long. RefSeq lists it as uncharacterized. The record is from RefSeq and is a predicted model, not a curated record. The transcript has 7 exons. NCBI's taxonomy places the organism in Eukaryota, Metazoa, Chordata, Mammalia, Primates, Hominidae.